Molecule: ribosomal RNA, 961 nt
Filed under: Paracellulophaga baltica
Lineage: Bacteria; Pseudomonadati; Bacteroidota; Flavobacteriia; Flavobacteriales; Flavobacteriaceae
Description: Cellulophaga baltica bacterial SSU rRNA
Rfam family: Bacterial small subunit ribosomal RNA
Source: RNAcentral
AUGCAGUCGAGGGGUAACAGGGAGCUUGCUCCGCUGACGACCGGCGCACGGGUGCGCAACGCGUAUGCAAUCUACCUCUUACUAAGGGAUAGCCCAGAGAAAUUUGGAUUAAUAUCUUAUGUGAUAUUAGACUGGCAUCGGUUUAAUAUUAAAGGUUACGGUAAGAGAUGAGCAUGCGUCUCAUUAGUUAGUUGGUAAGGUAACGGCUUACCAAGACUUCGAUGAGUAGGGGUCCUGAGAGGGAGAUCCCCCACACUGGUACUGAGACACGGACCAGACUCCUACGGGAGGCAGCAGUGAGGAAUAUUGGACAAUGGACGGAAGUCUGAUCCAGCCAUGCCGCGUGUAGGAAGACUGCCCUAUGGGUUGUAAACUACUUUUAUACAGGAAGAAUAAGAUCUACGUGUAGAUUGAUGACGGUACUGUAAGAAUAAGGACCGGCUAACUCCGUGCCAGCAGCCGCGGUAAUACGGAGGGUCCGAGCGUUAUCCGGAAUUAUUGGGUUUAAAGGGUCCGUAGGCGGGCUGUUAAGUCAGAGGUGAAAUGCUGCGGCUCAACCGUAUGCACUGCCUUUGAUACUGGCGGUCUUGAGUUAUAGUGAAGUGGCUAGAAUAAGUAGUGUAGCGGUGAAAUGCAUAGAUAUUACUUAGAAUACCGAUUGCGAAGGCAGGUCACUAACUAUACACUGACGCUGAUGGACGAAAGCGUGGGUAGCGAACAGGAUUAGAUACCCUGGUAGUCCACGCCGUAAACGAUGGAUACUAGCUGUUCGGUUUUCGGACUGAGCGGCCAAGCGAAAGUGAUAAGUAUCCCACCUGGGGAGUACGUUCGCAAGAAUGAAACUCAAAGGAAUUGACGGGGGCCCGCACAAGCGGUGGAGCAUGUGGUUUAAUUCGAUGAUACGCGAGGAACCUUACCAGGCUUAAAUGUAGAUUGACAGGUUUAGAGAUAGACUUUUCUU